CCUUUUGUAUAAUGGGUCAGCGACUUAUAUUCAGUGGCAAGCUUAACCGUAUAGGGUAGGCGUAGCGAAAGCGAGUCUUAAUAGGGCGUUUAGUCGCUGGGUAUAGACCCGAAACCGGGCGAUCUAUCCAUGAGCAGGUUGAAGGUUAGGUAACACUGACUGGAGGACCGAACCCACUCCCGUUGAAAAGGUAGGGGAUGACUUGUGGAUCGGAGUGAAAGGCUAAUCAAGCUCGGAGAUAGCUGGUUCUCCUCGAAAGCUAUUUAGGUAGCGCCUCAUGUAUCACUCUGGGGGGUAGAGCACUGUUUCGGCUAGGGGGUCAUCCCGACUUACCAAACCGAUGCAAACUCCGAAUACCCAGAAGUGCCGAGCAUGGGAGACACACGGCGGGUGCUAACGUCCGUCGUGAAAAGGGAAACAACCCAGACCGCCAGCUAAGGUCCCAAAGUUGUGGUUAAGUGGUAAACGAUGUGGGAAGGCUUAGACAGCUAGGAGGUUGGCUUAGAAGCAGCCAUCCUUUAAAGAAAGCGUAAUAGCUCACUAGUCGAGUCGGCCUGCGCGGAAGAUGUAACGGGGCUCAAACCACACACCGAAGCUGCGGGUGUCACGUAAGUGACGCGGUAGAGGAGCGUUCUGUAAGCCUGUGAAGGUGAGUUGAGAAGCUUGCUGGAGGUAUCAGAAGUGCGAAUGCUGACAUGAGUAACGACAAUGGGUGUGAAAAACACCCACGCCGAAAGACCAAGGGUUCCUGCGCAACGUUAAUCGACGCAGGGUUAGUCGGUUCCUAAGGCGAGGCUGAAAAGCGUAGUCGAUGGGAAACAGGUUAAUAUUCCUGUACUUCUGGUUACUGCGAUGGAGGGACGGAGAAGGCUAGGCCAGCUUGGCGUUGGUUGUCCAAGUUUAAGGUGGUAGGCUGAAAUCUUAGGUAAAUCCGGGGUUUCAAGGCCGAGAGCUGAUGACGAGUCGUCUUUUAGAUGACGAAGUGGUUGAUGCCAUGCUUCCAAGAAAAGCUUCUAAGCUUCAGGUAACCAGGAACCGUACCCCAAACCGACACAGGUGGUCGGGUAGAGAAUACCAAGGCGCUUGAGAGAACUCGGGUGAAGGAACUAGGCAAAAUGGCACCGUAACUUCGGGAGAAGGUGCGCCGGCUAGGGUGAAGGAUUUACUCCGUAAGCUCUGGCUGGUCGAAGAUACCAGGCCGCUGCGACUGUUUAUUAAAAACACAGCACUCUGCAAACACGAAAGUGGACGUAUAGGGUGUGACGCCUGCCCGGUGCCGGAAGGUUAAUUGAUGGGGUUAGCGCAAGCGAAGCUCUUGAUCGAAGCCCCGGUAAACGGCGGCCGUAACUAUAACGGUCCUAAGGUAGCGAAAUUCCUUGUCGGGUAAGUUCCGACCUGCACGAAUGGCGUAACGAUGGCGGCGCUGUCUCCACCCGAGACUCAGUGAAAUUGAAAUCGCUGUGAAGAUGCAGUGUAUCCGCGGCUAGACGGAAAGACCCCGUGAACCUUUACUGUAGCUUUGCACUGGACUUUGAGCCUGCUUGUGUAGGAUAGGUGGGAGGCUUUGAAGCGUGGACGCCAGUUCGCGUGGAGCCAUCCUUGAAAUACCACCCUGGCAUGCUUGAGGUUCUAACUCUGGUCCGUGAUCCGGAUCGAGGACAGUGUAUGGUGGGCAGUUUGACUGGGGCGGUCUCCUCCUAAAGAGUAACGGAGGAGUACGAAGGUGCGCUCAGACCGGUCGGAAAUCGGUCGCAGAGUAUAAAGGCAAAAGCGCGCUUGACUGCGAGACAGACACGUCGAGCAGGUACGAAAGUAGGUCUUAGUGAUCCGGUGGUUCUGUAUGGAAGGGCCAUCGCUCAACGGAUAAAAGGUACUCCGGGGAUAACAGGCUGAUACCGCCCAAGAGUUCAUAUCGACGGCGGUGUUUGGCACCUCGAUGUCGGCUCAUCACAUCCUGGGGCUGAAGCCGGUCCCAAGGGUAUGGCUGUUCGCCAUUUAAAGUGGUACGCGAGCUGGGUUUAGAACGUCGUGAGACAGUUCGGUCCCUAUCUGCCGUGGACGUUUGAGAUUUGAGAGGGGCUGCUCCUAGUACGAGAGGACCGGAGUGGACGAACCUCUGGUGUUCCGGUUGUCACGCCAGUGGCAUUGCCGGGUAGCUAUGUUCGGAAAAGAUAACCGCUGAAAGCAUCUAAGCGGGAAACUUGCCUCAAGAUGAGAUCUCACUGGGAACUUGAUUCCCCUGAAGGGCCGUCGAAGACUACGACGUUGAUAGGCUGGGUGUGUAAGCGUUGUGAGGCGUUGAGCUAACCAGUACUAAUUGCCCGUGAGGCUUGACCAU
This 2338-nucleotide ribosomal RNA is filed under the name Pseudomonas aeruginosa. Its description in RNAcentral is "bacterial LSU rRNA". It matches the Rfam family "Bacterial large subunit ribosomal RNA", at positions 604 to 2925 of the family's 2925-position model. Lineage: Bacteria; Pseudomonadati; Pseudomonadota; Gammaproteobacteria; Pseudomonadales; Pseudomonadaceae. The record is from RNAcentral.